This 629-nucleotide long non-coding RNA is filed under the name Citrus x clementina. RNAcentral's name for it is "Citrus clementina (C. clementina) long non-coding RNA (CCLE_LNC006249)". Lineage: Eukaryota; Viridiplantae; Streptophyta; Magnoliopsida; Sapindales; Rutaceae. The record is from RNAcentral.
UGGGGGGCGUGGGCGAAGUUCGUCCGCGGGACUCGGAAUGGCCCCAUACUUGGCGGGCGGCCUCCGUGUGCCAAAAAUAGGCCACGGGCACAGCCGCGCCCAAAAAUCAGCCGCCGAAGGUCGGGGUCCCAAGACCCCCCAGCGGAAAAAUGGCCAAAAAACGGGUGGGCUAUAGCCUUGGUGGGGGGAGUGGGCGAAGUUCGUCCGCCGGACUCGGAAUGGCCCCAGACUUGGCGGCCGGCCUCCGUGUGCCAAAAAUAGGCCACGGGCACAGUCGCGCCCAAAAAUCAGCCCCCGAAGGUCGGGGUCCCAAGACCCCCCAGCGGAAAAAUGGCCAAAAAACGGGUGGGCUAUAGCCUUGGUGGGGGGCGUGGGCGAAGUUCGUCCGCGGGACUCGGAAUGGCCCCAGACUUGGCGGACGGCCUCCGUGUGCCAAAAAUAGGCCACGGGCACAGCCGCGCCCAAAAAUAAGCCCCCGAAGGUCGGGGUCCCAAGACCCCCCAGCGGAAAAAUGGCCAAAAAACGGGUGGGCUAUAGCCUUGGUGGGGGGCGUGGGCGAAGUUCGUCCGCGGGACUCGAAAUGGCACCAGAUUUGGCGGCCGGCCUCCGUGUGCCAAAAAUAGGCCACG